RNAcentral lists this unclassified non-coding RNA (783 nucleotides) under Daphnia magna. Its description in RNAcentral is "zinc finger RNA-binding protein, transcript variant X1". The record is from RNAcentral. Lineage: Eukaryota; Metazoa; Arthropoda; Branchiopoda; Diplostraca; Daphniidae.
UUGUUUGACUUUCACAAAACUGAAAACGUCCACUCAGAUGUUAAGAAGCUAGUGCUAGUGCUUCACCUGCCUUGUCAGAGAAUCCGCAAAUGAUAUUUUAUUCGUUUUAAUGAUGAUUUGUCAUUUGCAUUUGCUUGGGUGUUGUUUUGUUCAUUUGCUUUUGGUGGAUGGCGUCAACUAUGAUGCAACUACUCGGCAAAGAGGUUGAUACCUCUGCAUAGAAAAACCUACCAUACAAAUGGGUUCUAACAAAGAAGUUCCUGCAUGUAAAGAAAUGGUACUAGUGAGGGGUUUUGGGCCAUUCGGUGUUCACAAAAUCAACUCCAGCAUGGAAACUGUGAAGUUAUUACCCAGUCUAGAUUUAGAACGAGAGCUCGGAAUCCAAUUAGUUACGAAAGAGAUACCAGUUGAAUACGGUUACGUGAAAACUCAGAUUCCUCAGUUAUGGGAAUUGUAUAAACCAAAGCUGGCUGUUUGUGUUGGAGUCUCAGGAAUGGGCUGUGUGCCAGAAGGUGGUGUUUGUGUUGAAGGUUGCCCAGAUCAACUAGAAUCUGCCAUUGAUAUGAGAAAAAUUGGUCAAAAUAACUAGAGCUGCCUUUGAAACAAAUCUGGUCACGGUGGCGGACAAGGUGGACCGAAAACCCGUGGUCGUUACUUCGCCGGUGGUUUCAACCAGCGUUGGACCAGCAGUACGACUCAACAACUCCAUUACUGUGAAGUUUGCAAAAUUUCUUGUGCAAGUCCUCAGACUUACAAAGACCAUUUGGAUGGUGAAAAGCAGAA